UCACUUUCACAAGCAGUAAAUCACUUGAGAUAGUAGAUUUUAACUCCAACAAUCUCUCCAAUUUAUUUCUACUUUCUAUUCUUUUUACUUUGAGUAAAAAAAAAAGAAUGAAGUAACUGAUUGCUGUAAAAUCAACUGGUUUCUAAUAUGCCUGAAAAUUGACUAAUUUGUCAUGCAAUGCUUUGUAGAGCAUAUAGUUCAGCUUCUAGGAGACUGUCAUCUUAUG
Molecule: unclassified non-coding RNA, 226 nt
Filed under: Hevea brasiliensis (rubber tree)
Lineage: Eukaryota; Viridiplantae; Streptophyta; Magnoliopsida; Malpighiales; Euphorbiaceae
Source: RNAcentral